AGAAUGCAAGAUUUCAGAUUCAAACAAUAGAGAAAGAGAUUGAGAUUUUUACAACAAAUUCUUUAAAGUUUUUCGCAAAGAGGGGAUCAUGGGCGUCCGCAAGCGUGACACUUACUCUCCCCUCCUCUCCCUGGUAGAGAGUCGGAUUAUCCGAUUAAUUAAAUAUCAAUUAAAUACUUAAUUUCAAACUUUUAAAAGUUUAUUUUCUUUAAUUUACAAAAAUUAUUUACUUCAAAAAUUUUUAAUUUACUUAAAAAAAACUUCUAAAUGAUUGAAUUCUUAAUAAAGCACAAAAAAUAUAACAAAAUUAAAAAAAAAAUUUGUUUACAAAAAACUUUUUCGACUUACACCUACCCUGUCGCGGUGAGAAAGCUUUAAUCAUGAGGUCUGUUCGCGUCACAUGCCCCAACAUGCUCCUAUUCACCCCAACGCACUCCAAUACGUUAAUUCCGAUGACGCCAACCUAUUAGAAUGCGUUGGAGUGAGUAGGAGCAUGUCGGAGCAUGGCGACGCGAACAAACCAAUGGUGUAAGAAUACCAGGUGAACCAUUCCCGUAGAUGCGCAGUAGUCUAAAGUAAUAAAACCAAUCAGCAAUGAUCCAGAAUGCAAGAAUCCAAUAUAGUUGCAUUCAGUACAUCGGAGUGUUCUUGAGCGUUCCUAUGCGAUAGCCUGAGUAUUUUUGUGCAAUAAUCAGAGUGUUCCAGUGCGACAGCCUGCGUUAUUGAGUAAAACCAAAACUACGAGCAACAUUAAAAACAUACUGUAAGAUCUAGUGUCCUGUGCGCGAUAGUCUUGUAAGCAAAGCCACAAAUCACAUAAAAAAUACUUAAGACCUGUAAAUGUAUGCAAAUAAUACGUAAUUAAUUCAACAUUUUAAUUUUGCAUUCUGGGCCUUUUUUUAUUGGCUCACUUAUACGUGACGUAUACUGACGUCAUGGCAUCAUGCGCAAUGGUUCACCUUGUAUCUUCACACCAUGGCUUUAAUACUACAAAGUAUAUAAGUAUAAAUCAUACAUUUGUUGAUCUAAAUAUUUUAUAGUAUGCCCUCUAAAAAAAUCCUGUGGAUGCCCUUAAAGCGGAUAUGUACAUAGUUUUUAAGCAUCAAUAUCACUAAAAAAAUAGAUUAUUAAUUUAAUAUAUUGUAAUAUUACAUUCUGGUACAAUUUAAGUAACUUGGUAACUAGUAACUUAGUAAUUUAGUAAUUGUUUUUACAGUUUAUAUAUAUAUUUUUUUUAUGUAAUUCAGCAAUUACUUUCAUAUAGUUCUUUGUUUUAUUUAUUCAUAAACAUAAUUUGCGUACAGCAGAAUGAUAUAUUUUCGAAAUAUAAUAUCUAUCAUAUAACA
Molecule: long non-coding RNA, 1346 nt
Organism: Monomorium pharaonis (pharaoh ant)
Lineage: Eukaryota; Metazoa; Arthropoda; Insecta; Hymenoptera; Formicidae
Exons: 2
Source: RefSeq, a predicted model, not a curated record